CAACGCUGUAAUGAUAUGGUUCUUUCUUGGAUCUUCAAUUCAUUAAGUCAAGAUCUUGCCAACAAUGUGCUCUAUCUCGAGACACCUUUCGAAAUCUGGACAGAUCUACAAGAACGUUUCUCACAAGGUGAUUUUUCUCAUUACUGUCAACUUCAACGGUCCAUUGUUGAAUUGAAACAAAAUCAAGAAUCCAUUUUCACUUAUUGUACUAAGAUGAAGACAUUGUGGGAUAAAUUGAAGAAUUGCAGUCCAUCUGCUAUUUGUACUUGUGGAGGAUUGAGAUAUUUGAACGAAAAAGAAGAAAAAAUUAGGCUAUGACAAUUUCUUAUGGGAUUAAAUGAGUCCUACUCAGCUGUAAGAGAUUAAAUUAUGCUGAUGCAACCCUUACCUACUAUAAAGAAAGCUUAUUCUCUUCUAUGUGAAGAAGAAAAGCAAAGAGGACUAGUUGAAUAUAAGGGGGCAGAUCAAGUCCAUGCUAUGAAUGUCAAACCUCAGCCCAAUUUCAAACAACAAAGCUAUGAUCACCAACGCCAGGCCAAGUGGACACCCUCUCCCUCAAAACCUCAAGGGCCUAGAAAGCCACAGUUCUGCACUUACUGUGAUGGAACCACUCAUACGGUUGAAAGGUGCUACUACUUGAUUGGAUUUCCUGUUGGUCACAAGCUUCAUGGAAAAGAUGUUCAACCCCCAAAUCGAAAACAUAAAGUUGCUGCUAAUCAAACAAGCAGCGAGCCAGCUCAUAUUACAAAUAAAGUACCUGAUCAGUCAAUCCAAUUCACCUCUGAGGAGCUUUCUCAAAUCAAGGCAUUCCUCCGAAAUGGUAAAAGUUCUCCUUGUGCUAAUUAUACAGGUAUUCCAACGCCUUUUUGUUCUUCAUCCACUUUACGUUAUUUCAAAUCUGAUAACUGGAUUAUUGAUAGUGGUGCUACACAUCAUAUAACUUCCUCAAUGACUAGUGAUACUCCUAUGACUUCACAAGUUUCCUUACCAAAUGGUUCUCAGUCAACAAUCACUGGAGUUGGCACCGCUCAUCUUUCCGAUAAUUUACAUGUUAAAGAUGUUCUUUGUGUCCCUUCCUUUCAUGUCAAUCUUCCUUUUGUUAGCCAACUCACAUCUGCUCUAAAUUGUACCAUCCAAUUUUUUCCUAAUUUUUGUAUUUUGCAGGACCUAGAUUCGAAGAGGAUGAUUGGCCUGGGGAAAUAGGAUAAGGGAUUGUACUAUCUUGUGCCACAUUCAAAGUUGUCAUCAUCUAUACCAGUAACUUAUCAGGUCUCCAUUCCAUCAGCCAUCACUUGUCAUAAACGAUUGGGACAUCCUUCUAAAGCGCCAUCUCAAUUUUUGUGCAAACUGAUUCCUUCUUUUGUUUUUGAUUCUUAACAUUUAUGUGACGUUUGUCAUUUGGCAAAACAAACAAGAUUGUCAUUUCCUUUGAGUUCCAUUCAAUCUAAGCACUCUUUUGAUCUUAUACAUUGUGAUAUUUGGG
RNAcentral lists this long non-coding RNA (1483 nucleotides) under Olea europaea subsp. europaea. The record is from RNAcentral. Lineage: Eukaryota; Viridiplantae; Streptophyta; Magnoliopsida; Lamiales; Oleaceae.